GGCUCUCAUGGCGAAAUCCCCCGCUCACCCGAAGUUCUACUUUCGAUCGCUCGAUCUCCUUGAUCUCGAGCCUCCUCCCGUUCUCCCCUCGGAUUGACGAUCUUCCGAGUGACCCCCAAGUCGUCGAACGCCGCUCUCUGUCGUUUGAGGUGGAUUCGUUCGGCCCUCUUCUCGAAUAUAGAGAACCCUAAUCUUGAUCUUUUGGUCUUGGUCUCUUUGUGGAUCUCCCUUGCUUUCGUCGGAGUUCUGCUCAGCUUUCCUUUGCUGAUCGGGGCGAGUUCAUUUGGUCGAGACGAGUUCGAGAUGCACCCUCGAACGGGUACGAUCCCCAAUUUCUACGAGCUGCAGCAGAGCCAGCAAUGGUUGAGGGGAAAUCAGAUGGGAGGCGAUUCUCGUGCUGCUGAAGUAGUGGAAUUUGUUCAAUCUAAGUAGAUCAAUCGGAAGCCACAAUUUGAAAGAGUUCCUUAUGGUGCCUGCCUGGUUGAUGGAUAUUUGCGUGCUCUUUGACUAUCUCAUUAAGCUUAUCGAGCACGUCAGUUUGGAUUCGGUGUUGGUGAAGUUGUCAGAGGUAUUUAACACGCCAGAAGAAUAAAAAGCAGCGGCCUUUGUCAUGAGAUCUAUUGUUCUUCUUGGUCAUAGAUCGGGUAGGAUACUCUCGGGUUCCUGUCUUUGGGUUUGGCCUUCGAGAAGCCUUUGCAGCAAUCAGUGCGGAAAGGAUGACGGGUUUCCAAAAGAUAGCAGCAAGAAAGUUGAUCCUGGGCAUCUUGGAAUUUCUCCAGAAAGGGUCCGUAGAGACAAAGAAGCAUUUCCCUCAAAGGAUGCUGAAGAAAGAUUGGAUUUUGCAGAUAAUAAGUUUGAUUUUGGGGGAAAUAAUGAGGAAGAGUUGGAGUGUGGACACCUCCCUGAGGAGACCCUUCUUGGUUUCUCAAUUGGUGGUACAGACACAGCAGAUGAUGAUGAUCAGAGCGAUCGCCGUGGCAACAUUAAUCCUCGACGGAGGUUUAUAGAGGGUAAUAAGGCUGAAGCUGACAGGGUGUUUGAGAUCUUACAACAGGAUGGGCCUGCAUUCAAUGUCCGGUCAGCACUAGAUGAGCUGCAUUUGCAUGUCUCCAAUGCAUUGGUGAGAGAAGUUCUUCUCCGCAUUCUUAUGUCUAUAAAUGGUGCCAACAGGUUGCGGUGUGCCAAAUUGGCCUAUAAGUUCUUUGUGUGGUCGGGUCAACAGAUGGACUACAGGCAUAACACUAACAGCUAUAAUCUUACCCUGAAAGUUUUUGCAGAAGCUAAGGAAUUGAAAGCCAUGUGGAGACUGAUGGAUGAGAUUAUCGAGAAGGCAUUGCCAAUCACUGCACGCACAUUUAUAAUAUUGAUUUGCACUUGUGGAGAGGCUGGCAUGGCCAGGAAGGUGGUCGAGAGGUUUAUAAAAUCCAAAAAUUUUAUCUACCGGCCUUUCAAGCACUCCUUCAAUGCAAUUCUCCAUUCUCUUCUAACUGUGAAUCAGUAUUGGUUGGUAGAGUGGGUUCAUCAAAAGAUGCUGCUCGAGGGGUACUCGCCAGAUGUUUUGACCUAUAAUGUCGUCAUGCGUGCUAAAUACAUGCUAGGAAAGUUGGAUCAGUUCCAUAGAUUGCUUGAUGAGAUGGGGAAAAAUGGGUUUGCUCCCGACCUCCACACGUAUAAUCUCAUGCUCCAUGUGCUUGGGAAAAGUAAUAAACCACUUUCUGCACUUAAACUUUUAAACUAUAUGAACGAUGUAGGCUGCCAUCCUAGUGUUCUUCAUUUUACCACUUUGAUUGAUGGGCUUAGUCGUGCUGAGAAUGUUGAUGCUUGCAAAUACUUUUAUGAUGAGAUGGUUAAGAAAGGGUGUGAACCAGAUGUAGUAUGUUAUACUGUGAUGAUAACUGGCUAUGUAAUUGCAGGAGAGUUUGAUAAGGCACAGGAAAUAUUUCAAGAUAUGUUAAUCAGCGGGCAACUUCCAAAUGUUUUUACAUACAAUGCUAUUAUCCGUGGGUUUUGCAUUACUGGGAAGUUUGACGAGGCAUGUUCCAUGUUGAAGGAUAUGGAUACAAGGGGCUGCACUCCAAACUUCUCAGUAUACAGCAGUUUAGUUGCAAGAUUAAGAAAUGCAGGAAAGGUUUCUCAAGCAAAUGAUAUAAUCAACUAUAUGGUAGAGAAAGGUCACUAUCUUCAUUUAGUAUCAAGGUUCAAGGGUUACAGAAGACGUUAGCUGAAAUUGUAUGAAUGGCCAUUUGUGAACUGUGGAUACCAUUCUUUUUAGCUAAAUGGUGUUUGCAGGAGUUGAAGUAACAGAGACUAUUUACCUCAAGCAUCUUAUGAGGAUUAGAUCCUCAAGCUUAUCUUGUUUCUCUUUUAUCUUUAGUAUCUUAGGCAGCAAAGAAAGAGAAAAUGGUUCCAAUGGUUGUUCUUUUCGGAUCAUAACUUAUCAAGGAAGUACUAUUAGGUAGUUAUUGAAGAUAUACUAGAUGUUCUGAUAUAGUGUCAUUAGAGGAGUACUUUUCCUCAGAAACUUAUAACACAAUUGGGACAAUGGAAGGAAGGAUAUGGCAAUUUGAAAGGAGAAUAACAGAAAAAUCAGGUUGGACAAUCCCAUGCUUUCGUGUACUUUCUCUUAUUCUGAUUGUUAGAUAUUCAAUUUUCCUUUUUAUUGUUCAUUAAACCAAGUUCAUUUUACCUAACUUGGAAAUAAUGCUUUGCUGGGGCUUAUAUC
RNA transcript from Musa acuminata AAA Group (dessert banana), 2722 nucleotides. It is a transcript of the gene named pentatricopeptide repeat-containing protein At3g60050-like, with no coding region annotated. NCBI's taxonomy places the organism in Eukaryota, Viridiplantae, Streptophyta, Magnoliopsida, Zingiberales, Musaceae. The record is from RefSeq and is a predicted model, not a curated record. The transcript has 3 exons.